UCGAGCGUCAUUGCACCCCUCAAGCUCAGCUUGGUAUUGGUCCCCGCCCCUCGGGCGGGCCCGAAAAGCAGUGGCGGUCCGGCGUGGAUCCGAGCGUAGUAAAUCAUCCACCGCUCUGGAGAAGCCCCGCGGCCGGCCAUCAACCGCCCAACUUUCUAAGAAUUGACCUCGGAUCAGGUAGGGAUACCCGCUGAACUUAA
RNAcentral lists this unclassified non-coding RNA (200 nucleotides) under soil metagenome. RNAcentral's name for it is "partial contains internal transcribed spacer 2 and large subunit ribosomal RNA". The record is from RNAcentral.